This 404-nucleotide ribosomal RNA is filed under the name uncultured Pseudacidovorax sp. RNAcentral describes it as "bacterial SSU rRNA". It matches the Rfam family "Bacterial small subunit ribosomal RNA", at positions 29 to 435 of the family's 1533-position model. The record is from RNAcentral. Lineage: Bacteria; Pseudomonadati; Pseudomonadota; Betaproteobacteria; Burkholderiales; Comamonadaceae.
AUUGAACGCUGGCGGCAUGCCUUACACAUGCAAGUCGAACGGUAACAGGCCGCAAGGUGCUGACGAGUGGCGAACGGGUGAGUAAUACAUCGGAACGUGCCCGAUCGUGGGGGAUAACGCAGCGAAAGCUGUGCUAAUACCGCAUACGAUCUACGGAUGAAAGCGGGGGAUCGCAAGACCUCGCGCGGACGGAGCGGCCGAUGGCAGAUUAGGUAGUUGGUGGGGUAAAGGCCUACCAAGCCGACGAUCUGUAGCUGGUCUGAGAGGACGACCAGCCACACUGGGGACUGAGACACGGCCCAGACUCCUACGGGAGGCAGCAGUGGGGAAUUUUGGACAAUGGGCGCAAGCCUGAUCCAGCCAUGCCGCGUGCAGGAUGAAGGCCUUCGGGUUGUAAACUGCUU